RNAcentral lists this long non-coding RNA (4318 nucleotides) under Malus domestica (apple). Its description in RNAcentral is "long non-coding RNA (MDOM_LNC016813)". Lineage: Eukaryota; Viridiplantae; Streptophyta; Magnoliopsida; Rosales; Rosaceae. The record is from RNAcentral.
UGGCUUCCGUGGCAGUGGUCGUGGUGGUUGGCAAUCCAAUCAAUGGGCUUUUCCUCCUUGCUUUUAGUGUGAUUUUUCCAACUCUCCAGGUCAUCAUGUUUAUACUUGCCCUCAUCGUCUUCCACUUGGCACGGCUUAUGAUCCUACUUGGUACUUUGAUAUGGGAGCCACUCAUCACAUGACUAAUAACGGAGCUGCUCUGUAGGACAUGUCUCCAUAUCUCGAUAACUAUUCUAUUUUUUUAGUAACGGGGCUUCUCCUCCUAUUGCUUACAAUGGCUUGAUGCGUAAAAUAACUAAACACACAAAUUAACCCUCUUGUUGACAAUUGUAGUAUGGAUAAGUAGGGAUUGUUCUUAAACCGGGGAUUAGGAGGGAUUGCUAAACACUCUAAACUGACUCAAAUAUGUAAAACAAAGUCUAAAAACACUAAAACAAACCAAAAGACUCAAAACCGCACAAAAACACUCAAAACUGCCUUUAAAACACUUUUUGGGCAGUUUUGAACUCUAACACAAACUUGGACGAAUUUGGGUUAUAACUUAAAUCAAAACACUUAAAAACACAAACUAAAUUGAUUUCUAACUAGUCUAACACUUUGAAAUAAUGGGGGAUUUGAUUUUGACGAAUUUGAAAACAAAACAAAACAGAUUUUAAACUAAGCAAAGUUUGAACGAAUUUGAAUAAAACUGAUAGGAGCAUAUUUAUGCAACUUAGUUAGCUUGUUUUCUUGCACUUUUAUAGUUAGUUUGUGGUUAUUAUAGUGUUUUAAGCUAUUUUCAUGUGUUUGUAGGUCUAAAUGACAAAGUUGGCGAGAAAGUGCAAUUUGGAGCCUUUUGAAGUAGUUUUGAGCAUAAAAUGGAUAUCACAUGCUUGGAGUCAAAUGGAUGGACGAAAUUGAAGAUCAAAGGAGGCAAGAAAUGAAGAAAUGAACAUGAAGAACAAAGAGUUCAGAAUUGGACACCAAAGUUUCUAAAGUUGGAAGUUGCUAUUCUUGGAGGUUUCCAUUCUUGAAAGUUUCUACUCUUGAAUUGGAAGUUUCCUAAUCCUUUUUCAGCUUUGUUCUAAGCCCAUGCCGCACCCUAGGGCCCUAAUCCUUUAUUUUCUGCUAAGUUUAAACCCUAAUCCAUCCACCCUAGGGUUGUGCCGCACCUAGUGUUCUAGAAGCCUAAAAAUCUGCAUAAAACCCUAAUUCUUUUCUCCCUUGGAUGGGCCAAGCCUUUUAUCUCCAAAACCCUAACCUUUUCCCAUCAGAUUUUGUGAAAACCCUAGCUUUGCCAUGCCUAUAUAUAUGUGUUUUUAAAGCCUAAAUUCGUCACCACCCUUAACACCAUUCAGAAACACCUUGCCGCAACCCUAGUCACCAUUCUACAUCACAAAACACCAUCCUACAUCCAUAUACAUCUCUGCCGCACCUUUUGGAGAAGAAGGAGAGCCUUGUCGUGCAUUCCAUUAAUGAAGGAGGGCCUUGUGCGCAAGCCAUCUGCAUCCUUGGGAGUUUUAAGAGUUCUUUCUUCCUUCGUUUCAGUUUCGAUGUUUAUUUCAAUUUGCUUUUCAAUUGAUAUGAACAUGUGGAACUAAAUUCUUAUUAGUUAGUGGUGAAUUUGAAGCCAUGGACAUAUGUUAAUCUGAAUUGAUUCCUUUCAGUUAUUGUUUCGUAAAAUAUGAAUGCGAUUUACUUAUCUAUUUGAUUGAUAACUUAUUCUUGUGUGUUGAUUAAGGCAGCCUACUUAGUUUUCAUGCUUGAAUCUGGUGCUAAAUUAUAAGGGACUUUCACCUAAUCGUUAGGAACUUAUAAUUACAAGUAGUGGAGAUUGUUAGUCACAAUCGUGUUAAGUAGAUUCUUGGCAAAAGUAUCAUGCAGUUCAUAGUUAUAAUUGCCUUGUCAAUGCUUAUGAUUUCCAUGGAAUUUAAUGAUCUUGAAUGUAUCUCUAUCAUGCUGUUCAUAUAGGGAACUUGAGAAGAAUAAUUUGGGUUGUUGCAUGCAUUCAUCCAAUUCAAUGAAUUGAGGGAAAUCUGAUAAUUAAUUUGUGCAUUCACGAUUAAUUUGGGGCAUUGUCGUUCAUGGUUUAAAGAAACAAUACUGGAAAUCGAUUUAUGUUGCAUAUGUUCAUGUGUGGAGAAGGAUCCUCUAACUAGUUUUUCACCCUUGAAUUCAUCUCAAUUUCGUUUUAGUUUACUUUGAUUUGCAAUUUGUUUAGUUUUAAUUCAAUUUCGUCAGAAAUCAAACACCCUUUUCUGUUUUAUGUUAUUAGGUCAUAAUCUGUCCUAAUUAGGUUCUUUAGAGUGUUUUGAGUCAAUAUAGGUUAGGUUUAGUCCAUAACCAUUGUUUGGGUCUCAGUUUAGUCUUAAAUUCGUCCAAUUUCAUCUCUAGAAUCUGUUUUGAGUCUAAUUGUUAGUAUUGUGCUGUUUUGAGUCUUUUAAGUGUUUUCUAAGUUAGUUAAGUUACAAUAUGUUUUCUUUUAAUCUUUUGAGUCAAAGUAGGUUUUAAUUUCGUCCAAUUCACUUGUUAGGUUUAGAAUUGAGUCAAUUUCACCUAGUUUUGCAGAUUUGAGUGUCUUAGGUCAGUUUAGAGUCUAUAGAGUCUAUUCUUGUGUUUUUAAGUCUAGUUUAGUGUUUUAGAGUUUAAUUUGAGUAGAUUAGCAGCCCUAGUUAAUCCCCGGUUUUAGAACGAUCCCUACUUACAUCUUUGCUACGUGGGAGGCAACCCAUGCAUUCAACAAAGGAAGCCCUAGGAAUCACUCCAAUUCCAGAUUUGCGUUCCUAAAACCCUUCUCUUUGUUGUUGUUUCUAAUCUGCCAUGUUAGUUGUUUAAGUUGUUGUUUGUUUAUUUACUUGUGUUUUGUGUGAUUUUAUGCUUGAAACAUUGAGGACAAUGUUUGAUUUAAGUGUGGGGGGGGGUAACUAAGUGUUUUAGAUGCAAAUUCGUGGGAUUUUAUCACCCUUAACUUGGAGACUUGUUCCUUGCUGUUUUUAAGUGUUUUUGAGCAGUUUUGAUGUGUUUUAGUGUGUUUUGAAGUAAAAAUCCGAAAAUCACAUAAAAAUUUGAAAAAUUUGUUUUAAAAACCCAAAAAGAGUUGUUUUUGUGUGUUUGUUUGUGUCUUAGGGUACCUUCCAACACAAUGAUGAGGAUUCGGUUUGUAAUUACAUGGCUGUUAAAGAAGAGUGAUUAACAUGGAUGAAAGUUUGAUUUACUCUUUGUUUAUGCUUGGUUGUGGUUAUAACUUAUGAAUUCACAUGCAAUCAUAAAAGAAAAAAAUCAGUUUUUGUAACAUGCUUGAAGGAAGGAACUCAAACUAACGCUACAACCUUGUGAGACUUGAGCCUAAACGUUUAUUUGGAGAGUUAAAAUCUGUGCAUUCUUUGUUUUCUAAAGUCGUUGCAUGAUCUCAUUAUUCUUUGCUUGGUUGCUACUUAGAAGGCGUUUCAUCAUUUAGUUCCAAAUGCUAGAACUCAUGCCCAUUUCAUUCAAAGCAUGUUAUUGAUUUGCAUAACACAUAUUCAAGAUGAAGUUGUGUAGUGACCACCACCUUAGCCAAAUGCCGUGUGCCCUAUGUCAUUAUGUGUUGUAGGUUUUAACCCCAUUGAGCCUUGUUAGCCUUCAUUAUUUGUUAACCCAUGUUUUCCUCACCUGGCCUAGUUAGGACCAUCCAUACCCUUGUUCUUAAAAGCAUAGUAAAGCAUGAUUCGAAUUGAAUUCCUUUUGAUUUAUGUUGGCAGAAACUAAGUGUGGGGGAAGUAUUUUUUUUUUUUUUUUUCGUGAGGAAUUGUGUGCCAUAGGCACGGCAAAGAAAAAAAAGAAAAAAAAAAAAUUCGUGGAAAAAGAAAAAAAUGAAAAAAGAGUUGAAAAGUUGAGAAAAAGAGUUCCAAAGUAUUGUUUGUUGAAGUAAGGGUCCAAAACAAUGAAUUCGGCCCUAAGGAGUUGUUUAAGUCUUCCCCUUGUGUUUUAAAGUUAAUUUCUGCAAUCUAAGUGAAUUCUAAGUCUCAAUUUCAUUGCUUUGCUUACUAUUGCUUGAAGAACGUUUGUUUUCCUUAUCCUUUCCUUGUUAGCCAAUACCCCAAGCCCCAUUACAACCCUUAACUUCUAUCUUGAGUGUUAUGUGUUUCAAUUUGUGGAGUUUGAAUUUGGUAUGAGCAUAUGGUGUCACUGGUUCUCGCAUCUAAGUAGUAGCAUUCCAUUCAUGAGAUCAUAUCUAAACAUGCUUCUUAACUCUAGAAAUUGCGUUCUUUGUGAUACAUAUAUGUGAGCAUUCGUUUUCAUAUCUACAUCAAUCUUCUCACAUAUGACUAGUGUAGGGUGUGUAGUUAGAAAAUCUGAG